This 757-nucleotide long non-coding RNA is filed under the name Phoenix dactylifera (date palm). RNAcentral describes it as "long non-coding RNA (PDAC_LNC018442)". Lineage: Eukaryota; Viridiplantae; Streptophyta; Magnoliopsida; Arecales; Arecaceae. The record is from RNAcentral.
GUCAUAUUGGUGCAGCAAACCUAAGUUGCACCUAAAUCAUAUGCACGUAUAUAGCAUCUAUAAAGGCUACCGGAUUUUGUAUACAUAGAAAGGAAAGGGAACCAUGUCCAAAUGGUGGACGGGCUUGAUUUAGUAGUCCCAUCGCUUUGGUUAGCAACUAGAAGUUUCGGAUUCAAUUCUUGAAUGCAGGAUAAGCCUCUCUGCCGCUCUCAAAUACGUGAGUUGCGUCUAAUGUGAUAAGGAUGACGAUUGAGCCUGGAUAAUUCAAAAUAUUCCACCAAGCGAUGAAGAUAGCAUCAAGGUUCCCAAUAAAAAUAUUCCCAUCAUAUCAUGAAAUGUAUUUCUAAAAACAAAUUGUUCAUAUGUAAUUUAAAAGCCACAUCAGCAGAUAUAGUUCAAGUCAUCUUGUUCGAUAUAGAAAUGUUGUAAAUAAUCAUAUACUAAUAUGUUCCUUAAUGCCACAUAGUAAUUUGCCAAGCCUAGGCCAGCCCAUCGUAAAGCUUGGCCCAGUCUACCCUUACAAAAAAAUAUUGGUUCAAGGCCCAUGAAUGAUGGGGCAAAGCCCACAUGGCAGUUAUGGGCCAUGCAUGAGCUCCCGUGCCCAUCACGGAUCGGUGCUUGAAUGGGCCGGACUCUCCAAUGGAUGACCCACCCGACCCGCAAGCAAUUCUCUUCCUCCGCUCCAAAGACGUAGUAAUCAAUUCCAGCAUCUACAAAAGGUACUUCACUCUCUGCGGACCUUUACGUAGGUAAUUAA